GGUCAAGCUACAAAGGGCGUACGGUGGAUACCUUGGCGCCAGCAGCCGAUGAAGGACGUGGCAGGCCACGAUAGUGUGCGACGAGCUGUCAACAAGCGUUGACUCGCACGAUUCCGAAUGGGGCAACCCCGCCAGGGUAAUACCUGGUGACCCGUAACUGAAUCCAUAGGUUACGAGGAGGUAAGC
RNAcentral lists this ribosomal RNA (186 nucleotides) under bacterium. RNAcentral's name for it is "partial 23S ribosomal RNA". It matches the Rfam family "Bacterial large subunit ribosomal RNA", at positions 1 to 185 of the family's 2925-position model. The record is from RNAcentral.